AGUUGGUGGUUUCCAAGGUUUCACAAUCUUCUGUGUGAUUAUGGUAAAUGAAGCUAUAAAUAUUUAAUUACCCAUAUAUAGAUAUGCUUCUAAUUUAAGCUUAAUUAUGUGCUUUAAGGUUAAUAUUAUGUGUAAUUGUUGGAUUUUUUUUUUGUAUACAGUGUUUGAGAUCAAUGUUGAUUAUUGUUAGUUUUGUUUGACCUCAAAAUAGAAUCAUUAUUAAUUUUGUUUGACCUCUAAAAUAUGUGUUCUUUUUUGGGUAAUUAGCUAGUCGUUACUGUGUUCUAUGCUAAUUGUUUAGGGUUUAGCUAAACCAUUGUGUGAAUCUUGAUCCAAUUUGUUAGUUAGUUAGUUGUUCUAUGUUCUAUGUAUGUGCAUGCACAAAAUUCUUAGCUGCUGAAUUUAGUGAUAUCCUUUGCUAAUAAAGUAGUAUUUGUGUUGUCAAAGGUUGAUCAUUGAUUUAUUAAUUUGCUAUUCCUUUAGUUUUAGCUUAAACGGUGCGAAUCUUGAUCUGACUUGUUAGGAUAGCCUACUGGUUUGAUUUUUAUUCGAAAAUUGUAACAGGAACGAUUAUGGAAUCACAGACACGCACAAUUGUUAGCUAUCUAAUUAUAUGAUAGAUGAAUAAUUGUUGAAAUGUGAACGUGAAUGCUCACUGAAGGGGUAGAAUUCAAUAAUUUUGGAAGAACAAAAUGAUUGGAGU
This 703-nucleotide unclassified non-coding RNA is filed under the name Hevea brasiliensis (rubber tree). The record is from RNAcentral. Lineage: Eukaryota; Viridiplantae; Streptophyta; Magnoliopsida; Malpighiales; Euphorbiaceae.